AUAAGGGCGCACGGUGGAUGCCUUGGCACUAGAAGCCGAUGAAGGACGUGACUAACGACGAAAUGCUUUGGGGAGCUGUAAGUGAGCAAUGAUCCAGAGAUGUCCGAAUGGGGGAACCCGGCAGGUAAUGCCUGUCACUCAUUACUGUUAAGGUAAUGUAGAGGAAGACGCAGUGAACUGAAACAUCUAAGUAGCUGUAGGAAGAGAAAGCAAAAGCGAUUGCCUUAGUAGCGGCGAGCGAAACGGCAAGAGGGCAAACCGAAGAGUUUACUCUUCGGGGUUGUAGGACUGCAACGUGGACUUAAAGAUUAUAGAAGAACUACCUGGGAAGGUAGGCCAAAGAGAGUAAUAGCCUCGUAUUCGAAAUAGUCUUUAUACCUAGCAGUAUCCUGAGUACGGCGAGACACGAGAAAUCUCGUCGGAAUCUGGGAGGACCAUCUCCCAACCCUAAAUACUCUCUAGUGACCGAUAGUGAACCAGUACCGUGAGGGAAAGGUGAAAAGCACCCCGGGAGGGGAGUGAAAUAGAACCUGAAACCGUGUGCCUACAACAAGUUCGAGCCCGUUAAUGGGUGAGAGCGUGCCUUUUGUAGAAUGAACCGGCGAGUUACGAUAUGAUGCGAGGUUAAGUUGAAGAGACGGAGCCGUAGGGAAACCGAGUCUUAAUAGGGCGCAUUAGUAUCAUGUCGUAGACCCGAAACCAUGUGACCUACCCAUGAGCAGGUUGAAGGUGAGGUAAAACUCACUGGAGGACCGAACCAGGGCACGUUGAAAAGUGCUUGGAUGACUUGUGGGUAGCGGAGAAAUUCCAAACGAACUUGGAGAUAGCUGGUUCUCUCCGAAAUAGCUUUAGGGCUAGCGUCGAUGUUAAGUCUCUUGGAGGUAGAGCACUGUUUGGGUGAGGGGUCCAUCCCGGAUUACCAAUCUCAGAUAAACUCCGAAUGCCAAUGAGAUAUAAUCGGCAGUCAGACUGCGAGUGCUAAGAUCCGUAGUCGAAAGGGAAACAGCCCAGACCACCAGCUAAGGUCCCAAAAUAUAUGUUAAGUGGAAAAGGAUGUGGGGUUGCACAGACAACUAGGAUGUUAGCUUAGAAGCAGCUAUUCAUUCAAAGAGUGCGUAAUAGCUCACUAGUCGAGUGACCCUGCGCCGAAAAUGUACCGGGGCUAAAACAUAUUACCGAAGCUGUGGAUACCUUUAUAGGUAUGGUAGGAGAGCGUUCUAUGUGCGAAGAAGGUGUACCGUGAGGAGUGCUGGAGCGCAUAGAAGUGAGAAUGCCGGUAUGAGUAGCGAAAGACAGGUGAGAAUCCUGUCCACCGUAAGACUAAGGUUUCCAGGGGAAGGCUCGUCCGCCCUGGGUUAGUCGGGACCUAAGGAGAGACCGAAAGGUGUAUCCGAUGGACAACAGGUUGAUAUUCCUGUACUAGAGUAUAUAGUGAUGGAGGGACGCAGUAGGCUAACUAAACCAGACGAUUGGAAGUGUCUGGCCAAGCAGUGAGGUGUGAUAUGAGUCAAAUGCUUAUAUCUUUAACAUUGAGCUGUGAUGGGGAGCGAAGUUUAGUAGCGAAGUUAGUGAUGUCACACUGCCGAGAAAAGCUUCUAGCGUUAAUUAUACUCUACCCGUACCGCAAACCGACACAGGUAGUCGAGGCGAGUAGCCUCAGGUGAGCGAGAGAACUCUCGUUAAGGAACUCGGCAAAAUGGCCCCGUAACUUCGGGAGAAGGGGCGCUGACUGAUGGUCAGCCGCAGUGAAUAGGCCCAAGCAACUGUUUAUCAAAAACACAGCUCUCUGCUAAAUCGUAAGAUGAUGUAUAGGGGGUGACGCCUGCCCGGUGCUGGAAGGUUAAGAGGAGUGCUUAGCGUAAGCGAAGGCAUGAAUUGAAGCCCCAGUAAACGGCGGCCGUAACUAUAACGGUCCUAAGGUAGCGAAAUUCCUUGUCGGGUAAGUUCCGACCCGCACGAAAGGCGUAAUGAUUUGGGCACUGUCUCAACGAGAGACUCGGUGAAAUUUUAGUACCUGUGAAGAUGCAGGUUACCCGCGACAGGACGGAAAGACCCCAUGGAGCUUUACUGCAGUUUGAUAUUGAGUAUCUGUACCACAUGUACAGGAUAGGUAGGAGCCUAUGACCUCGGGACGCCAGUUUCGAGUGAGGCGUUGUUGGGAUACUACCCUUGUGUUAUGGCUACUCUAACCCAGAUAGGUUAUCCCUAUCGGAGACAGUGUCUGACGGGCAGUUUGACUGGGGCGGUCGCCUCCUAAAAGGUAACGGAGGCGCCCAAAGGUUCCCUCAGAAUGGUUGGAAAUCAUUCGCAGAGUGUAAAGGUAUAAGGGAGCUUGACUGCGAGAGCUACAACUCGAGCAGGGACGAAAGUCGGGCUUAGUGAUCCGGUGGUUCCGUAUGGAAGGGCCAUCGCUCAACGGAUAAAAGCUACCCUGGGGAUAACAGGCUUAUCUCCCCCAAGAGUUCACAUCGACGGGGAGGUUUGGCACCUCGAUGUCGGCUCGUCGCAUCCUGGGGCUGUAGUCGGUCCCAAGGGUUGGGCUGUUCGCCCAUUAAAGCGGCACGCGAGCUGGGUUCAGAACGUCGUGAGACAGUUCGGUCCCUAUCCGUCGCGGGCGUAGGAAAUUUGAGAGGAUCUGCUCCUAGUACGAGAGGACCAGAGUGGACUUACCGCUGGUGUACCAGUUGUUCUGCCAAGAGCAUCGCUGGGUAGCUAUGUAGGGAAGGGAUAAACGCUGAAAGCAUCUAAGUGUGAAGCCCACCUCAAGAUGAGAUUUCCCAUGAUUUUAUAUCAGUAAGAGCCCUGAGAGAUGAUCAGGUUGAUAGGUUAGAAGUGGAAGUGUGGUGACACAUGUAGCGGACUAAUACUAAUAGCUCGAGGACUUAUCC
This 2888-nucleotide ribosomal RNA is filed under the name Streptococcus thermophilus. Its description in RNAcentral is "bacterial LSU rRNA". It matches the Rfam family "Bacterial large subunit ribosomal RNA". Lineage: Bacteria; Bacillati; Bacillota; Bacilli; Lactobacillales; Streptococcaceae. The record is from RNAcentral. RNAcentral also lists the same sequence under 2 other names.